Molecule: ribosomal RNA, 1491 nt
Filed under: metagenome
Description: bacterial SSU rRNA
Rfam family: Bacterial small subunit ribosomal RNA
Source: RNAcentral
AGAGUUUGAUCCUGGCUCAGAUUGAACGCUGGCGGCAUGCCUUACACAUGCAAGUCGAACGGCAGCACGAGAGCUUGCUCUUGGUGGCGAGUGGCGAACGGGUGAGUAAUAUAUCGGAACGUACCCUAGAGUGGGGGAUAACGUAGCGAAAGUUACGCUAAUACCGCAUACGGUCUACGGAUGAAAGUGGGGGAUCGCAAGACCUCAUGCUCAUGGAGCGGCCGAUAUCUGAUUAGCUAGUUGGUGGGGUAAAAGCUCACCAAGGCGACGAUCAGUAGCUGGUCUGAGAGGACGACCAGCCACACUGGAACUGAGACACGGUCCAGACUCCUACGGGAGGCAGCAGUGGGGAAUUUUGGACAAUGGGCGCAAGCCUGAUCCAGCAAUGCCGCGUGAGUGAAGAAGGCCUUCGGGUUGUAAAGCUCUUUUGUCAGGGAAGAAACGGUGGACUCUAAUACAGAUCACUAAUGACGGUACCUGAAGAAUAAGCACCGGCUAACUACGUGCCAGCAGCCGCGGUAAUACGUAGGGUGCAAGCGUUAAUCGGAAUUACUGGGCGUAAAGCGUGCGCAGGCGGUUGUGCAAGACAGAUGUGAAAUCCCCGGGCUCAACCUGGGAAUUGCAUUUGUGACUGCACGGCUAGAGUGUGUCAGAGGGGGGUAGAAUUCCACGUGUAGCAGUGAAAUGCGUAGAGAUGUGGAGGAAUACCGAUGGCGAAGGCAGCCCCCUGGGAUAACACUGACGCUCAUGCACGAAAGCGUGGGGAGCAAACAGGAUUAGAUACCCUGGUAGUCCACGCCCUAAACGAUGUCUACUAGUUGUCGGGUCUUAAUUGACUUGGUAACGCAGCUAACGCGUGAAGUAGACCGCCUGGGGAGUACGGUCGCAAGAUUAAAACUCAAAGGAAUUGACGGGGACCCGCACAAGCGGUGGAUGAUGUGGAUUAAUUCGAUGCAACGCGAAAAACCUUACCUACCCUUGACAUGUCUGGAAUCCUUGAGAGAUCAGGGAGUGCUCGAAAGAGAAUCAGAACACAGGUGCUGCAUGGCUGUCGUCAGCUCGUGUCGUGAGAUGUUGGGUUAAGUCCCGCAACGAGCGCAACCCUUGUCAUUAGUUGCUACGAAAGGGCACUCUAAUGAGACUGCCGGUGACAAACCGGAGGAAGGUGGGGAUGACGUCAAGUCCUCAUGGCCCUUAUGGGUAGGGCUUCACACGUCAUACAAUGGUACAUACAGAGGGCCGCCAACCCGCGAGGGGGAGCUAAUCCCAGAAAGUGUAUCGUAGUCCGGAUUGUAGUCUGCAACUCGACUACAUGAAGUUGGAAUCGCUAGUAAUCGCGGAUCAGCAUGUCGCGGUGAAUACGUUCCCGGGUCUUGUACACACCGCCCGUCACACCAUGGGAGCGGGUUUCACCAGAAGUGGGUAGCCUAACCGCAAGGAGGGCGCUCACCACGGUGGGAUUCGUGACUGGGGUGAAGUCGUAACAAGGUA